AGAACGAACGCUGGCGGCAGGCCUCAAACAUGCAAGUCUAGGGGGUGUAGCAAUACAUCACCGGCGGACGGGUGCGUAACACGUGGGAAUAUACCUUUUGGUUCGGAACAACGCAGGGAAACUUGCGCUAAUACCGAAUGUGCCCUUACGGGGAAAGAUUAAUCGCCAAAGGAUUAGCCCGCGUAGGAUUAGCUAGUUGGUGAGGUAAUGGCUCACCAAGGCUCCGAUCCUUAGCUGUUCUGAGAGGAAGAUCAGCCACACUGGGACUGAGACACGGCCCAGACUCCUACGGGAGGCAGCAGUUGGGAAUCUUGGACAAUGGGGGAAACCCUGAUCCAGCCAUGCCGCGUGAGUGAUGAAGGCCUUCGGGUUGUAAAACUCUUUCGACGGGGACGAUAAUGACGGUACCGUAGAAGAAGCUCCGGCUAACUUCGUGCCAGCAGCCGC
RNAcentral lists this ribosomal RNA (447 nucleotides) under uncultured bacterium. RNAcentral's name for it is "SSU rRNA". It matches the Rfam family "Bacterial small subunit ribosomal RNA", at positions 26 to 518 of the family's 1533-position model. The record is from RNAcentral.